CGGAGAAUGAUUCCCGAAAAGACAUUUCAAUCAAAAACAAGAAAGAUUCUAUUCAUUAGCGUAAUUUAAGUCCAGGCAGUUUGAACAGAAGCGAGAACUGUUUUCUCUAUAUUCGUCUAUAUCAAAAUGUCUUCGAGAGCUGAAGUUCGGCGAAGGAGAAAUGUCAGUGGAGCAUUAUCAGGAACCAACACUGUCGCAUCUGGUACAAUUGGGAUACAAGAAGGCACAUACCUUGAAACAGCAGGAGUACCGACCGCUAUGGAUCAGACGUACUCUUUAAGAGUACGAAGACCAAUUCAAGAAAGCGUAGCACUUUCUGAACACAUGAGAGAUAGCGAAAGAGAUCCACUAUUACUGUAAAAAUAAUUUACAGUUGGGAUGGCGAACAAGGAAUGCUUAAACAAUUGAAUAUCAACAAUCAGAAUACUGAAUAACCGUUGAUAAAUUGGUUUGAAUUGAUUUGUGCCAACACCAAGCUUUCGCAUUGUUCGUCUAAGUGGAUUCUUUAAUUUAAUGCUAGGCUAUUUAUUAUUGCCAGGAAAAAAUCAAGGUUAAAUUUUGUGCCU
Molecule: long non-coding RNA, 566 nt
Organism: Dendronephthya gigantea
Lineage: Eukaryota; Metazoa; Cnidaria; Anthozoa; Malacalcyonacea; Nephtheidae
Exons: 4
Source: RefSeq, a predicted model, not a curated record